UUUUACAAUUCCACCUAUCAAAAUGUGAACUGGAACCUAAUUUAUGUGAUGAAAAGCGAACAACACAAUGUGAUGAAUAUGCAGUGUGCUGUCCAAUAGGCAAUGAGCAAUAUGGUUGCUGCCCAUUCACUGGAGGUACCUGCUGUCCAGGCACCAAUCAUUGCUGCCCGCCUGGUUUUUCGUGCACAACUAUAGGAACUUGCAAGAGGACAACAACCUUAUCCAACCCAGUAUCUCCGUUUCGAUCAGGCUAA
This 254-nucleotide unclassified non-coding RNA is filed under the name Caenorhabditis elegans. RNAcentral describes it as "Non-coding transcript of protein-coding gene T02B11.8b". Lineage: Eukaryota; Metazoa; Nematoda; Chromadorea; Rhabditida; Rhabditidae. The record is from RNAcentral.